ACGGGAGGCAGCAGUAGGGAAUAUUGCACAAUGGGGGGAACCCUGAUGCAGCAACGCCACGUGUGGGAAGAAGCAUUUCGGUGUGUAAACCACUGUCGUGAGGGAAUAAUGCUUGGCUCCGGCCAAGUUGAAUGUACCUCGAAAGGAAGCACCGGCAAACUUCGUGCCAGCAGCCGCGGUAAUACGUAGGGAGCGAGCGUUAUCCGGAAUUACUGGGUGUAAAGGGAGUGUAGGCGGGACUGUAAGUCAGAUGUGAAAUAUACCGGCUCAACUGGUAGACUGCAUUUGAAACUGCGGUUCUUGAGUGAAGUAGAGGUAAGCGGAAUUCCUAGUGUAGCGGUGAAAUGCGUAGAUAUUAGGAGGAACAUCAGUGGCGAAGGCGGCUUACUGGGCUUUAACUGACGCUGAGGCUCGAAAGCGUGGGGAGCAAACAGGAUUAGAUACCCUGGUA
Molecule: ribosomal RNA, 451 nt
Filed under: uncultured Ruminococcus sp.
Lineage: Bacteria; Bacillati; Bacillota; Clostridia; Eubacteriales; Oscillospiraceae
Description: partial 16S ribosomal RNA
Rfam family: Bacterial small subunit ribosomal RNA
Source: RNAcentral